AAUAAAUUAUGACUUCCUCCUAAUAGCUUUCAAUAUUUUCGGUGUCCCUUUAUGCAUUACAUGUGGAUAAAUUUGAAUGUAAAAGGUAUUUGAACUGAAAAGGAAUCCAGCAACCUGUGGGGCAAGACAUUAUUGACAACAUUGAAAAAAUGCGAUUGGAUCUUCUGCAGCUAAUGGAUUUACAAUUCUUUAAGGAAAGUCAUUUGGAAUCAGAACACUAUCGCUAUCCUCCCUAGACUAUUUUUCUUUACAAAAAUUAUUUUUAAAGGAAAACCAAAUAAAAACUAAAUGAAAUUUUCGGCAUAAGAGAAAAGCUUCAUAUACGAGAUGGUCUCCAAGAUGCUUGAUUGGGAAUAUAUCGCAUUGCUUAUACUUAUGACCAGGAACCCAAGGAAGUUGCCCACGGAAUAGUAGACGGAGUGAAAUACACGUGAGUCCUGUUAAGAUAAUAUUAAAAACAGGUAGUUUAUUUAUUUUAGGGGUAAACUGGCAGCUAUUGAUUGCUACGAUGUGGGAAAAUUCUCCUUUAUGUUGGGGGACUUUGAUUCCGCCUCUCGAUGGUUUUUACUUGCAAAGGACAUUUAUGAAAAGGAGCUACGUAACUAUUACAAUAUUUUUGAAGUGACUAUUAAAGAUAUUAAUAUGAUCCUAGCUAAAUCUAAUAUUGCCAUGGGUAAAGUAAACUAACUUCUAAUGGACGACUCCAUGUUUGGUAAAACAGGCAAUAAUCUUGCCCAUCAUUUUUGGCAAAAUCCUUCCAACAAAACUAUAGAAAUGGAGGCCUUGCAGCUUCAUAAAGACUUUAAAAUCCUGUGUAGUAGAUCGAGUAAAAGUUCGAUGGCUGUGUCUUAAAAAAGUUCUUCCCAAUUUCUUACACUAGCACCAUUUCGAAUGGAAGAGCUCUCUUUACAACCUUACCUUGUAAUUUUUCACAAUGUGUUAAGUGAUUUGGAAAUCCAGCAAUUAGAACGUAUGAGCAGGACCCAUAGGAAAAGACCUACAGUUUUUCGAGUACAAACGCAGGAUCGACUUGUUGACUUUAUUCGAACCGGAGAGGGCGCAUGGCUUCUCCCCAAAACGGCAAAGGACACCGAUCGCUUAAUUACAGACAGAAUCGAAAGAAGGAUCGGUGUUUUUACAGGCUUUAAGACAAGCUGGCCUAAGCUUCACCAAUUUCUAAACUACAGGUUUGGAGGUGUCUUCUUGCCCCACUGGGAUUUCUUCAACGCAAAGACAGGUUUCAUGUAUGGAGAACGUUUAGCUACAGUUCUAUUUUUUGCAAGUAUUUUAAAUAAUAAAACUAAUUACAUUCU
Drosophila ananassae is the source of this 1313-nucleotide long non-coding RNA. RefSeq lists it as uncharacterized. The record is from RefSeq and is a predicted model, not a curated record. The transcript is spliced from 4 exons. NCBI's taxonomy places the organism in Eukaryota, Metazoa, Arthropoda, Insecta, Diptera, Drosophilidae.